Long non-coding RNA from Labeo rohita (rohu), 479 nucleotides. RefSeq lists it as uncharacterized. Lineage: Eukaryota; Metazoa; Chordata; Actinopteri; Cypriniformes; Cyprinidae. The record is from RefSeq and is a predicted model, not a curated record. The transcript has 4 exons.
UACACGUGUGUGUGUGUUUAAUUUUGGACUCCCCGAGGAUCGUUUCGGUGACAAGGCAAAAAUGCAUGCACUACUAUAACUAUCAACCAUACCAGCUCUCAAAUCCCAACAGUUUCUUCUCAAAAUGGAGACACAAAUCAACAGCUGGCAUGACAGAGCAACAGUCUGAAGAGAAUCUUGCUUAGGAAGUACUGAAAAUUUACAACAAAAUCCAGCUGGCUGUAGAGACUUGAAACUUGAGGGAUGGUGGUACUCACACUGCCGACAACGUGACCAGAACUCGCCCAUCCUGAUGGAGGCACUACAAUGAUCAAAAGACUCGGCAGCAUCACUGCAGUCUAACAGCCAGCCACUUGCCUUAUUUUAUUUCCAAAAACUGAACUGUAAUGUUCAUCAAAGUAACAUCCCAGACCUUCAAGAUGCUUCCAGACAUCCCACCCAACCUGCAUGCCAGCGCCAAAACACGCCACCCUCCGAGC